This is a non-coding RNA of Trichobilharzia regenti, 120 nucleotides long. NCBI's taxonomy places the organism in Eukaryota, Metazoa, Platyhelminthes, Trematoda, Strigeidida, Schistosomatidae. The record is from Rfam.
UAACUUUGGUGUCUCCUCAUUUGCGGAUAAAUCUUUCGCCUUUUACUAAAGAUUUCCGUGGGGAGGCACAAUACAAUGAGUCUUGCCUCAUUUUUGUCAGCUCUGUCUUCGGACGGAGUA